GAUGAACGCUGGCGGCAUGCCUAAUACAUGCAAGUCGAACGAGAGGAAGGAAAGCUUGCUUUCCUGAAUCUAGUGGCGAACGGGUGAGUAACACGUAGGUAACCUGCCCAUGUGCCCGGGAUAACUUCUGGAAACGGAUGCUAAAACCGGAUAGGUAGCAGACAAGCAUUUGACUGCUAUUAAAGUGGCCUUGGCCAUGAACAUGGAUGGACCUGCGGUGCAUUAGCUGGUUGGUGAGGUAACGGCCCACCAAGGCGACGAUGCAUAGCCGGCCUGAGAGGGCGGACGGCCACAUUGGGACUGAGACACGGCCCAAACUCCUACGGGAGGCAGCAGUAGGGAAUUUUCGUCAAUGGGGGGAACCCUGAACGAGCAAUGCCGCGUGAGUGAGGAAGGUCUUCGGAUCGUAAAGCUCUGUUGUAAGAGAAAAACGGCACUCAUAGG
This 444-nucleotide ribosomal RNA is filed under the name uncultured bacterium. RNAcentral describes it as "bacterial SSU rRNA". It matches the Rfam family "Bacterial small subunit ribosomal RNA", at positions 28 to 462 of the family's 1533-position model. The record is from RNAcentral.